UACGUAGGGGGCAAGCGUUGUCCGGAUUUACUGGGCGUAAAGAGCGCGUAGGCGGAAGGUGAAGCGUGGCCUGAAAGCCCCCGGCUCAACCGGGGAAGGCGGCUGCGAACUGGCCUUCUUGAGGGCGAUAGAGGGGGGCGGAAUUCCUGGUGUAGCGGUGAAAUGCGUAGAGAUCAGGAGGAACACCCGUGGCGAAGGCGGCCCCCUGGGUCGGCCCUGACGCUGAGGCGCGAAAGCGUGGGGAGCGAACGGG
Molecule: ribosomal RNA, 253 nt
Filed under: uncultured bacterium
Lineage: Bacteria
Description: partial 16S ribosomal RNA
Rfam family: Bacterial small subunit ribosomal RNA
Source: RNAcentral